Molecule: ribosomal RNA, 429 nt
Filed under: Fusobacteriota bacterium
Lineage: Bacteria; Fusobacteriati; Fusobacteriota
Description: Fusobacteria bacterium partial 16S ribosomal RNA
Rfam family: Bacterial small subunit ribosomal RNA
Source: RNAcentral
UGGGGAAUCUUCCGCAAUGGACGAAAGUCUGACGGAGCAACGCCGCGUGAGUGAAGACGGCCUUCGGGUUGUAAAGCUCUGUGAUCCGGGACGAAAGAGCCUGAGGUGAAUAGCCUAAGGAAGUGACGGUACCGGAAAAGCAAGCCACGGCUAACUACGUGCCAGCAGCCGCGGUAAUACGUAGGUGGCAAGCGUUGUCCGGAAUUAUUGGGCGUAAAGCGCGCGCAGGCGGCUUCCUAAGUCCAUCUUAAAAGUGCGGGGCUUAACCCCGUGAUGGGGUGGAAACUGGGAAGCUGGAGUAUCGGAGAGGAAAGUGGAAUUCCUGGUGUAGCGGUGAAAUGCGUAGAGAUUAGGAAGAACACCGGUGGCGAAGGCGACUUUCUGGACGAAAACUGACGCUGAGGCGCGAAAGCGUGGGGAGCAAACAGG